AAGGCCGUACUUACUAGGAUUAUUUCUAUAGUACGCGACCCGUCUUUGUAAUCUUACAGAGACAACAACGAUACCCACGGUGACGAUGCAAAGCUUGAUCCUCUGAGCGCGAAGAGCUCUGACACAAGCACCAGAAUAAGAUGAUCCGCAUGGUUUUACAGAUAAACAAUAGCAUCGAUUGAAAUUCAUUUAAAAUCCGAAAUUCGACCGUCAAAGCAGUCAAAAUACGGAGUAUUGCGCAUUCAGAGUGGG
This 252-nucleotide small nucleolar RNA is filed under the name Nematostella vectensis (starlet sea anemone). Its description in RNAcentral is "Small nucleolar RNA U3". It matches the Rfam family "Small nucleolar RNA U3". Rfam says of the family: Small nucleolar RNAs (snoRNAs) are involved in the processing and modification of rRNA in the nucleolus. There are two main classes of snoRNAs: the box C/D class, and the box H/ACA class. The record is from Rfam by way of RNAcentral. Lineage: Eukaryota; Metazoa; Cnidaria; Anthozoa; Actiniaria; Edwardsiidae.